CCUACGGGAGGCAGCAGUGAGGAAUAUUGGUCAAUGGGCGAGAGCCUGAACCAGCGAAGUCGCGUGAAGGAUGAAGGACCUACGGGCUGUAACCUUCUUUUGUCAGGGAGCAAUUGAGUCCACGUGUGGUCCUAUCGAGAGUACCUGAAGAAAAAGCAUCGGCCAACUCCUUGCCAGCAGGCGCGCUAAUACGGAGGAUGCGAGCGUUAUCCGGAUUGAUUGGGUUUAAAGGGUGCGUAGGCGGAAUAGCAAGUCAGCGGUAAGUAGACGGGGCUCACCCCCGUCGUGCCGUUGAAACUGAUGUUCUUGAGUGGGCGAGAAGUAUGCGGAAUGCGUGGUGUAGCGGUGAAAUGCAUAGAUAUCACGCAGAACUCCGAUUGCGAAGGCAGCAUACCGGCGCCCAACUGACGCUGAAGCACGAAAGCGUGGGUAUCGAACAGGAUUAGAUACCCCAGUAGUC
RNAcentral lists this ribosomal RNA (460 nucleotides) under uncultured bacterium. RNAcentral describes it as "partial 16S ribosomal RNA". It matches the Rfam family "Bacterial small subunit ribosomal RNA", at positions 338 to 795 of the family's 1533-position model. The record is from RNAcentral.